GAAAUGCGAAAACUAAUGUGAAUUGCAUUAUCUCGUGAAUCAUCGAGUCUUUGAACGCAUCUUGCACUUUUUAGGUCUCCUAAAAAGUAUACUUGUUUGAGUAUCAUAAACACACUCUGCUCUAGUUGCUUCUGCUUCUAGCAAUUGAGACGUCAAGUUAGCCUGCUAACAUGUGUCUUUUAAUGCAUAUGCCAGUGUUUUGCGUGUCUUGUGCAAGCAAAAGCCACACACAAUCAAAUGUGAGAUAAAUAUCGCACAAAGUAGUUGCUAGUGGUUCAGCUUGGCUACGCCCAGCAGCUUGCGCGCAAGCGCUAGCUUCACCUUUGACUCUGUGAUCUCAAAUCAAGUAAGACUACCCGCUGAACUUAA
RNAcentral lists this unclassified non-coding RNA (369 nucleotides) under uncultured Mucoraceae. RNAcentral's name for it is "sequence contains ITS1". The stretch from base 1 to 106 matches the Rfam family "5.8S ribosomal RNA", at positions 50 to 154 of the family's 154-position model. The record is from RNAcentral. Lineage: Eukaryota; Fungi; Mucoromycota; Mucoromycetes; Mucorales; Mucoraceae.